UAUUAACCCCUUUGCAUGUUUCAAAUCUGUCCGGUGGACAUUACAUACAUAUACUUCCGGGUCAAAUCUGCCGUUUUGCGUCACCAACUUUGUCAGCUGAGACUGUGCUGGAGGCACGGAGAGAGGAGCAACAGAAGCACUUGUAGCUGCAGCUUCUGGAUGCACUUGCCUUUUUGAUGAUGCGUUAUCCCUGCUCGUGCUAGCAUUGUUUUUCUGUUUGCUAAACCAAGAUCUAAUAUCCAUUUUAGCAAGCUACUGUACCAAAGUGUCUUCUUCGACCGCAUCUAAAACUGUUGAAUAGUAACCUAGAGCGCCCUCUGUUGACCAUCUUCAGCCAAUAAAUUUGCAUGAGGUGUUGUAAUCUGUCCUGGGUGAGCCAGAUCGGCAAAUAGGCAGGCCGGACCUGCCCCUGAGGCCAGGGGAUUUGAGGAGCGGUGUUGCCACACUUCAGCGCCGGUUGAUAAUGUCACGUUAGGUAACCUCCAGCCUCAGCCUGCUCCAGUCGAAUUUGUUCUGUAUCCUGUGUGCUUUGACUUGUGCUUAUUCAGCCCUCCCUGUUUACAGAAGUUUCUGUCCUGGAUCCCUGAAGUGUGUUUGCCUCACCGUCGCUCACCUCCCCUGGCCGCCCGCUCUCCACUGUCCACCUGCCUUGGAUCCUCCUCAACGAUCAGCCACUCACCUCUGCCUGACCCAUCUCAGACUAGACCUGACCUGCCUCCCCCUCAAGCCCAUUCUCAGCCCAGCAUCACCCGGAGUUACAUCCUGUCUCGCUUAUGGAACAGCGCCCUUAGUUUCCCUUUUAAAUUCUUUUAUAAUAAACAUUUUGUAAAUUCUUACCUGUUUUCCCAUGUGUGAUUCUUUCAUGUGGGCCCAGAAACUUCCACCCACCAUGACAAAAUCAGUUUUCCUCAUUUCCCUUCCCGAGGACCGGUAUCCAGCUUGUUUUAGUGGUUUCCUUAAUUCAACACACUCAAUUCACCUGGUUAGCUCAUCAAGCUCUUUAAAAGGCCACUUAUGGAGCUAGGAUUGGGACAAUAAUACAUGUCCCUCUAGGAUUAAUAAAGUCUAUUUGAAUUGAAUGUAGCUUGUACCAGGUUUUGUAGCUUGUACCAAGUUACGACUAAAAACACACAUCUCAGUCUACUGUUACAAAACUUAAAUCUACGUGUUACAAAACAUUUUGUCCCAAUUCCAGCUUCUUUCCUAAAGAACGGAUGGCAGAUAAAUUAAACUAAGAACUGCUUAAGAACUUACAUUUUGAACUAGAGCAGGAUGUUGCAUCCAAGACACAUGAUUGGCUGAUAAGACAAAGCCUGUCAUUGAGUCUUUGGAAAAAGGAAGCUAGAAAUUGGACAAAAAACUGUGUACACGUAACUUUUGGACUGUAGACUGAGAUCUGUUAAAGUUAAAUGUUACAAAACAAAUGACAUGCUACAAAACAAGUUACAUGUUUCUAAAUGAAAGUUACAUGUUACAAAAUGAGAGUUAGGUGUUACAAAAAGAAAGUUGCAUGUUACAAAAUGUGAAUUACAUGCUAUAAAAUGAAAGUUACAGUUACAUGUUUCAAAUUAAAUGUAAUAGUGUCCCAAUCCUAGCUCCAUACUUAAUCACCUGGGGCCUCAUUGAUAAAGCUUGCUUACACACAAAACGGAGUCGGGAAACCACAUAAGCUACUUUCCACACACACUUUGGGAUUUAGAAAAGAAAACGUAGCCGAAAAAUGUGCGCAACUUUAAGUUGACUAAGGACCUGGCUUACACACACUUUGGACAUGGAGAGCACCUUCAGUGCUACUGCUGAGAAUGAUACAAUUAUGAAUUCCAGCAGCAUUAUAAUUGUACCGCGUCCUGCGCACAGAGAACAAGUGUUGAGGGCGGGACGUGAUUCAGAAACAGCUGAGCACAUUCCUAGAAAUGUUCUGAAUUAUAAAGCAAAGACUGUGUGAAGCUGUGCAUACUCCAUGUUUUAUAGAUCACAAACCUACUUGGCGUAAAUACUUUUUAUUUUUUAUUUUUAUUUUGCUGAGCUUAAGUACAGUUUUAGUAAGGAUUCUAUGCAAUGUUUUAUAAAUGAGACCCCUGCUGAUUAAAAUCAGAUAUGCUGAAGCAGGAAAAACAAUAAAAUGUGCUGGAUACUGGCUCUCAGUGAAGGGAGUUGGAGAUCACUGCUCUACAUUGUUCCUAUAGGUGCAUUGUUGUUUUUCCCUGUGAGUACUUGUGACGGACUGGUGACCUUUCCAGGGUGUCCCCUGCCUCUCGUCCGAUUAGUGCUGGAGUUAAGCAGCAGCUCCAUGCCACUCUAUUGAGGAUGAAGCGAUUAGGAUAAUGGCUUGAUAGACAUGUCAGUUUCUUUAAGUACUUCAUAUCAGUAAAUGGACUAAUGACCUGUUGAGCAUGUCCCCUGCUUUUAUUUUCACCCAAUAACUACUAGAACUGACCUGUUCUCUAAACAGGGAUACAAGUUUUUACAGAAUAGAUGGGCACUAGUAAAUGAACAAGAAUCUGUUGUUUUUCAUACCUAAAACCUGGCCAUUGUUACAUGAGGCUGAUUCAGUCAAACAUUUAUGUGAAAGCUUUGGCCUAAAAAGUGGAUUCUGAUUACAUGGUUGUGGGUAUAUGAACAGAAUCUAACUAUAUUCCAAGCUAACGUUACAUUUAUAUUUUUCAGCACAAGGUCAACAGGAAUCACAAAAUGUGACAAUCUGAGCACAGUGAGGAAGCAAUCUUUAUUUAAAGAUCUAGUUCACUAGUUUUUUCUUUAGUUUUUCUGUACAUUUGCAAUGGUUUCAAGUAUAAAGGGCCCUUUUUAGAAGACACUACACUGCCACUACAGUGUGUCUUAAGAAUGCACCGUGGCGGCAUGGAGAUGCUGACAUUUUGCAGCAUUUAUGCCGCCAUGCUAGUAACAUUACCACAACACCGUGAAUGAAUGUAAUACAAUACAAUAUAUAUAAUAAGUAUUAGUAUUUGUAUUAGUUUUGCUCAAGUCAAAAACAAAUUUUUUUCAGUGAACUUGGUCUUCAAGGUAACUCUUCCAUAUGAAAAUUUAUCAAAACACCAGACAAUGGGGUAUAUUUGUAUCUCAUUAUCAAAGUUUAAACGUUUUUCAUUUUGCACCUCCCUACUAAGUGAAGAUUUUAGCCUUUAAACCAGCUGUGUUGUUUCAAAGAAAUGAAUAAAUAUGCAGAACGAAGUUGCUCUUGGCAACCACUACACAGCAAACACAUCUGAGGUCAGGUCCCAUUCAAAACAACAGAACUGUGUAACUUUCACACCUAAUUAUGAAAAAAAGUUUUACAAUUCGAACAAUACACUGAUUCACUAACUGCUGUGUGAAAUGGAGAUUUUCUUCCAGUAUUUACCAAAUUAACUCUUGCAUAAAAAUAGUUUUCCUCUUUUUUUUGUUGCCUUUUUGUUGGUAUUUGGCAAGCAGCCAAAUAAUCAAGCUUGAAUAACUGGAUGACAAACAAACUGUAAAACAUUGCAAAUGAGUUUUUCCACAUUUUGAUAAGUUGUAAAUCCUAAUGACCCUAUAGAGCUGCAAUGACUCAGAUAACAAACUCCAUCAGGAUCAUUUACUUGGCUUGUCAGCAUUGUUGUCAAACUGUGCAGAGUGCAUCAUUCAUCAACAUCACAACAGUUGUUUUCCACAUCAGAAGAGACAUUUUCAAAAUGAUUAUGCUAACAUCAUUGUAUUUCUAAUUAUAUAUUUUUUUCAUGUCAGACUACAAAGAUAAAGACCCAAGAGAACUGAAUAAAAACUGACAUUUAGAGGUAUUUAUAACUGUUUAAGCUUCAUAAGUAUCAGGGUUUGGGCAUCUUUUCUCAUCAAGAAAGCCUUUCAUUAUGAACAUUUUAAAUUUGAUAGUUUUCUCAAUGUUUAGCAAUUCAGUGGGAUAAGAACUAGAAUUACAUCAGAAUUAUCUACAGACAAGUCCUUAUGAUUCUCUUUUUUGUGUGUCUGGCCUGGGGGUCCUUAGUUUGCAUUCAAGGUCCAAUAAGACAUGUUUGAUCUUUACAAUACAAAUGCCAGUAAAAGUUAAGCUUGGAGUUUUAAUUUACUCUAAAAUUCAUACUCUCGCCCUACGAACAAUACCCCAGUAAGCUCCAACACUUUGUGCACUUCAAAGGCCCUAACACUGAGGAUUCUGACUUAAAACAAAAGAAGCUUCUGCUUUCUUUCAGGUUUUAGAGGGCAAUAUCAACAGGAAACCUCUAAAGAAUGACAAUGGGAACUCUACAAGGAAGAAAAAAAAUCCCUGUAAAGUUUUUACCUUUUUCUCAAAUUCUUUUGCAAAGUUAUUGAAACAAACGACUGUACGGCUAGUGCCAAGACAAAGCUUGUAAAAAGUGCAGAGAAUAACCGAAUGUGCCCCAUCUUAUCAUCCGCUACCACUGCACAGAUUAGUGCUGAACGGAAUAGAAAAAGGUUGUGAAAAAGGGGAGAAAAAAAGAAUAAAAGCUGCUCUCAAGUAUUAGAACAGACAGUUGCAUUAGCUUUCUAAUAAGAAGAGACAGAGCAAUACUGAGCCCUGAAAGGAGAGGGAAAAAAGAGAGAAUUUGCUCACUCCUUGCAGGGUCUUCCACCACCAGAUUCUCACCCACCCAUAGUGUCGCUCUCCACCCUCAUGCCCCCUCCCUUCUUUCAUCUUAAAUCAGAUAGCAACAGAAGAAGCAUGUCAUAGGUUUAACUCAUACAGUAUUAAUUAUACUCCCGUCCCCUGACCUGACUGCUAAAGAUAAUCUCCUUCCCACAACCCUGCUUUCUAAAUGGAGUGCUCUUAUCGUUUCUAAAGCGGAAUCCUUUACCAUCGGCUGCACCCUGGUGCCAUGUGAUCCCCUUUGUCCUGUAGCCCCUGAUGAUUUAUGAGGCUUCCAGCUAGUAGUGGUGGUAAUAUUCUGAAUAUGUCAGACAAGGCAAGGAAAAAGUCCUUCUCAAUUUCCAGUCAGCAGAGUGACUGUAUUAUGAUGAUGAGUCUGCAGUUCUUCACCAGCGUGUCCAUUUGACAAGUAGCUCUGCAUUGCAGCUGGCUCACAGUGGAUUCAACUGCUGUGGAAAGAACUCAAAUUAACUUGCUUUACAUCCUUCAUACAAUCCUCCAUCUAUGUUGUUUUAUAUUGUUUUAUAUUAUAUUACACAGUUUCGUUUUAAUAGUCAUUAAUUGCAUUAAUCACCAGCAGGUGUACCAGCACCUGCUGGUGAUUGUUGACACUUGUCCCCUGUCAAACAAACCUGCUAUGUGGAGCUUUCUGAUUGGUGUUUGUGUUGGUUAAGAACUUCUCCUUACUGCUGAGGGAGUGGGCGGUGGUGUGGGCGCAGUUUGGCGCCCCCUUCUGGAUGGCACCCUAGGUGGCGGCCUUGAUCGCCUGUAGGACGGACCACCACUUAUGAUGAGGUCACAAAAUCACAGGAAAAAUGUAACAUCAUGCAUUAUUUGGGAAGUUCACGACAGCAAGCAAGGACAAAGAAGACAGCAUGUAUCCAGGCCUAAGGUUUGUUCUCUGUGGGUACAAUUUCAUUACCAACACCUCCUAUAAAGAU
Nothobranchius furzeri (turquoise killifish) is the source of this 5541-nucleotide long non-coding RNA. The record is from Ensembl. NCBI's taxonomy places the organism in Eukaryota, Metazoa, Chordata, Actinopteri, Cyprinodontiformes, Nothobranchiidae.